RNAcentral lists this ribosomal RNA (976 nucleotides) under Acinetobacter lwoffii. Its description in RNAcentral is "bacterial SSU rRNA". It matches the Rfam family "Bacterial small subunit ribosomal RNA", at positions 61 to 1033 of the family's 1533-position model. Lineage: Bacteria; Pseudomonadati; Pseudomonadota; Gammaproteobacteria; Moraxellales; Moraxellaceae. The record is from RNAcentral.
GUCGAGCGGGGAAAGUAGCUUGCUACAUUACCUAGCGGCGGACGGGUGAGUAAUGCUUAGGAAUCUGCCUAUUAGUGGGGGACAACAUUUCGAAAGGAAUGCUAAUACCGCAUACGCCCUACGGGGGAAAGCAGGGGAUCUUCGGACCUUGCGCUAAUAGAUGAGCCUAAGUCGGAUUAGCUAGUUGGUGGGGUAAAGGCCUACCAAGGCGACGAUCUGUAGCGGGUCUGAGAGGAUGAUCCGCCACACUGGGACUGAGACACGGCCCAGACUCCUACGGGAGGCAGCAGUGGGGAAUAUUGGACAAUGGGGGGAACCCUGAUCCAGCCAUGCCGCGUGUGUGAAGAAGGCCUUUUGGUUGUAAAGCACUUUAAGCGAGGAGGAGGCUCCCUAGACUAAUACUCUAGGUGAGUGGACGUUACUCGCAGAAUAAGCACCGGCUAACUCUGUGCCAGCAGCCGCGGUAAUACAGAGGGUGCAAGCGUUAAUCGGAUUUACUGGGCGUAAAGCGUGCGUAGGUGGCCAAUUAAGUCAAAUGUGAAAUCCCCGAGCUUAACUUGGGAAUUGCAUUCGAUACUGGUUGGCUAGAGUAUGGGAGAGGAUGGUAGAAUUCCAGGUGUAGCGGUGAAAUGCGUAGAGAUCUGGAGGAAUACCGAUGGCGAAGGCAGCCAUCUGGCCUAAUACUGACACUGAGGUACGAAAGCAUGGGGAGCAAACAGGAUUAGAUACCCUGGUAGUCCAUGCCGUAAACGAUGUCUACUAGCCGUUGGGGUCUUUGAGACUUUAGUGGCGCAGCUAACGCGAUAAGUAGACCGCCUGGGGAGUACGGUCGCAAGACUAAAACUCAAAUGAAUUGACGGGGGCCCGCACAAGCGGUGGAGCAUGUGGUUUAAUUCGAUGCAACGCGAAGAACCUUACCUGGUCUUGACAUAGUAAGAACUUUCCAGAGAUGGAUUGGGCCUUCGGGAACUUACAU